Molecule: long non-coding RNA, 454 nt
Filed under: Sinocyclocheilus grahami
Lineage: Eukaryota; Metazoa; Chordata; Actinopteri; Cypriniformes; Cyprinidae
Description: lncRNA (ENSSGRG00000030861.1)
Source: RNAcentral
GAAGGUUCAUGUCAGCGUGUUUCUGUUUUUCUUUACAGUGCAUCACUAGAUGAAGGAAGCAGCUCAGCCUCUGCCUUGUGUGGACAGCCUUCUUCAUCUUGCUCGUUUGAUGGAAGUUUGAAAUCAGAGAGCAGUGACUCAGAGCCAAGAUGGCCAGAGGUUCCUCCUGUGCUUAACCAGAAUGAGGAUCGGAGAAGAAACAAGUACCUGAGAAAAGACUACCUGAAGUAUAAGUGCCAAAGUGCUCGAAGAAACUCCAGUGGCAACGACAAUGAUUGUGAGGUGAGACUUUGUGCUGUGACUGUCUACGUGCCAAGAUUCUCCUUGCAUGAAUAUUUAUUAGAGGCCAGCUGAGUCACAUCACCACAGUAGAGCAACUCCACAAUUAAAGGGGUCAUGAAAUGCAGUUUUAGUUCUUCAUAAUAUUUCCCAAGGUCUGUUUAUAAAAAAAGGG